GAACGAGGAUAUACCCUUCGGGGUAUAAGCCGAGUGGCGCAAGGGUGAGUAAUGCAUAGAUUACCUGCCUUCGGGAUAAGGACAACUUUGUGAAAACGAAGCUAAUACUUAAUAAUACAAAAGAAAAUAAUUUUCAUUUGUCAAUGGGAGGGUAGCAAUACCUUUUGCCUGGAGAGGGGUUUAUGUCCUAUCAGCUUGUUGGUGGGGUAAUGGCCUACCAAGGCGAAGACGGGUAGCCGGUCUUAGAGGAUGGUCGGCCACACUGGGACUGAGACACUGCCCAGACUUCUACGGAAGGCUGCAGUCGAGAAUCUUUCGCAAUGCCCGAAAGGGUGACGAAGCGACGCCGCGUGAGUGAGGAAGGCCUUCGGGUUGUAAAGCUCUGUCAGGAGUUAAGAAAUAUAAGUGUGCUAAUACCACAUUUAUUUGACAAAGGCUCCAAAGGAAGCCACGGCUAACUCUGUGCCAGCAGCCGCGGUAAUACAGAGGUGGCAAGCGUUGUUCGGAAUUAUUGGGCGUAAAGAGCACGUAGGUGGGUCUGUAAGUCAGAUGUGAAAGCCUUCUGUUCAACGGAAGAAUUGCAUCUGAAACUGCGAGUCUUGAGUGUAGGAGGGGAGAAUGGAACUUCUGGUGGAGCGGUGAAAUGCGUAGAUAUCAGAAGGAACGCCGGCGGCGAAAGCGAUUCUCUGGCCUAUUACUGACACUUAGUGUGCGAAAGCUAGGGGAGCAAACGGGAUUAGAUACCCCGGUAGUCCUAGCUGUAAACGA
RNAcentral lists this ribosomal RNA (768 nucleotides) under uncultured Planctomycetota bacterium. Its description in RNAcentral is "bacterial SSU rRNA". It matches the Rfam family "Bacterial small subunit ribosomal RNA", at positions 64 to 809 of the family's 1533-position model. The record is from RNAcentral. Lineage: Bacteria; Pseudomonadati; Planctomycetota.